GACGAACGCUGGCGGCGUGCCUAAUACAUGCAAGUUGAGCGCUGAAGGCUGGUACUUGUACCAACUUGAUGAGCAGCGCACGGGUGAGUCACGCGUGGGGAAUCUGCCUUUGAGCGGGGGACAACCUUUGGAAACGAAUGCUAAUACCGCAUAAAAACUUUAAACACAAGUUUUAAGUUUGAAAGAUGCAAUUGCAUCACUCACAGAUGAUCCCGCGUUGUAUUAGCUAGUUGGUGAGGUAAAGGCGCACCAAGGCGAUGAUACAGAGCCGACCUGAGAGGGUGGUCGGCCAGAUUGAGAGUGUGACCGGGCACAAAGGGCUUGGGGAAGGAGCAGGAGGGAAUCGGCGGGAAGGGACGAAAGAUUGACCGAGAAAGGCGGAGGGAGGGAGGAAGGUUGCCGGGUCGUGAAACUCUGUUGGUGGGGUAGAACGUUGGUGAGAGUGUAAAGAUGAGCGAGUGACGGUAACGGCUAAGGAAGGAACGGCUAACUACGUG
This 497-nucleotide ribosomal RNA is filed under the name uncultured bacterium. RNAcentral's name for it is "partial 16S ribosomal RNA". It matches the Rfam family "Bacterial small subunit ribosomal RNA", at positions 28 to 507 of the family's 1533-position model. The record is from RNAcentral.